GUUGUGGCUCAGUGGUAGAGCACUUGCCUAGCAUGUGUAAGGCACUGGGUUCAAUCCUCAGCACCACA
This 68-nucleotide transfer RNA is filed under the name Marmota monax (woodchuck). RNAcentral's name for it is "tRNA.Ala". Lineage: Eukaryota; Metazoa; Chordata; Mammalia; Rodentia; Sciuridae. The record is from RNAcentral.